RNAcentral lists this ribosomal RNA (483 nucleotides) under uncultured bacterium. RNAcentral describes it as "partial 16S ribosomal RNA". It matches the Rfam family "Bacterial small subunit ribosomal RNA", at positions 28 to 507 of the family's 1533-position model. The record is from RNAcentral.
GACGAACGCUGGCGGCGUGCUUAACACAUGCAAGUCGAACGCUGAAGCUCAGCUUUUGUUGGGUGGAUGAGUGGCGAACGGGUGAGUAACACGUGAGUAACCUGCCUCCUUCUUUGGGAUAACGCCCGGAAACGGGUGCUAAUACUGGAUAUUCACUGGUCUUCGCAUGGGGGUUGGUGGAAAGGGUUUUUCUGGUGGGGGAUGGGCUCGCGGCCUAUCAGCUUGUUGGUGGGGUGAUGGCCUACCAAGGCUUUGACGGGUAGCCGGCCUGAGAGGGUGACCGGUCACAUUGGGACGGAGAUACGGCCCAGACUACUACGGGAGGCAGCAGUGGGGAAUAUUGCACAAUGGGCGCAAGCCUGAUGCAGCGACGCCGCGUGAGGGAUGGAGGCCUUCGGGUUGUGAACCUCUUUCGCUCAUGGUCAAGCCGCAACAAUGGUUGUGGUGAGGGUAGUGGGUAAAGAAGCGCCGGCUAACUACGUG